Molecule: ribosomal RNA, 275 nt
Filed under: uncultured bacterium
Lineage: Bacteria
Description: partial 16S ribosomal RNA
Rfam family: Bacterial small subunit ribosomal RNA
Source: RNAcentral
CCUACGGGUGGCUGCAGUCGGGAAUUUUGGGCAAUGGGGGAAACCCUGACCCAGCAACGCCGCGUGAAGGAUGAAGUAUUUCGGUAUGUAAACUUCGUAAGAAUGGGAAGAACAAAUGACGGUACCAUUUGUAAGCCCCGGCUAACUACGUGCCAGCAGCCGCGGUAAUACGUAGGGGGCAAGCGUUGUUCGGAUUUACUGGGCGUAAAGGGCGCGUAGGCGGCGUGACAAGUCACUUGUGAAAUCUCCGGGCUUAACUCGGAACGGCCAAGUGA